Molecule: transfer RNA, 67 nt
Filed under: Callisaurus draconoides
Lineage: Eukaryota; Metazoa; Chordata; Lepidosauria; Squamata; Phrynosomatidae
Description: tRNA-Arg
Source: RNAcentral
UAGGCAUUAGUCUAAACAAGAUAGUUGAUUUCGGCUCAACAGAUUUGGAAUCUAUCUCCAAACGCCU